This 468-nucleotide ribosomal RNA is filed under the name uncultured bacterium. Its description in RNAcentral is "partial 16S ribosomal RNA". It matches the Rfam family "Bacterial small subunit ribosomal RNA", at positions 28 to 507 of the family's 1533-position model. The record is from RNAcentral.
GACGAACGCUGGCGGCGUGCUUAACACAUGCAAGUCGAACGGAAAGGCCCUGCUUUUGUGGGGUGCUCGAGUGGCGAACGGGUGAGUAACACGUGAGUAACCUGCCCUUGACUUUGGGAUAACUUCAGGAAACUGGGGCUAAUACCGGAUAUGAGCUCCUGCUGCAUGGUGGGGGUUGGAAAGUUUCGGCGGUUGGGGAUGGACUCGCGGCUUAUCAGCUUGUUGGUGGGGUAGUGGCUUACCAAGGCUUUGACGGGUAGCCGGCCUGAGAGGGUGACCGGCCACAUUGGGACUGAGAUACGGCCCAGACUCCUACGGGAGGCAGCAGUGGGGAAUAUUGCACAAUGGGCGGAAGCCUGAUGCAGCAACGCCGCGUGCGGGAUGACGGCCUUCGGGUUGUAAACCGCUUUCGCCUGAGACGAAGCGUGAGUGACGGUAAUGGGUAAAGAAGCACCGGCUAACUACGUG